UAAAAUUUAUAAAAUUAGGUAGUAAAGAAAUUUCUGAAACCUAAAGAAUUUGGCGGUAUUUUAAAUAAUUGGAGGAACCUGUUAUUUAAUUGACAACCCACAACAAAUCUUACCUAAAUUUUAUUUGUAUAUCGUCGUUUUUGAUAAUAUUUCAAAAUUAUAAUCAAUAAAAAUAAAUUUUUUAAAAUCAGAUCAAGGUGCAGUAUAUUUAGGUCAUAAUGGGUUACAAUAUAAUUAUAUAUAAUGGAUAUAAAAUUGAAAUUAUAUUGAAAGUGGAUUCAAAAGUAAUAUUAAAUUAAAAUGUUAAUUUGAUUAAAAAUUUAAAAUAUGC
RNAcentral lists this ribosomal RNA (331 nucleotides) under Chihuahuanus cazieri. RNAcentral describes it as "partial 12S ribosomal RNA". Lineage: Eukaryota; Metazoa; Arthropoda; Arachnida; Scorpiones; Vaejovidae. The record is from RNAcentral.